AGCGUACACGGUGGAUGCCCUGGCAGUCAGAGGCGAUGAAGGACGUGCUAAUCUGCGAUAAGCGUCGGUAAGGUGAUAUGAACCGUUAUAACCGGCGAUUUCCGAAUGGGGAAACCCAGUGUGUUUCGACACACUAUCAUUAACUGAAUCCAUAGGUUAAUGAGGCGAACCGGGGGAACUGAAACAUCUAAGUACCCCGAGGAAAAGAAAUCAACCGAGAUUCCCCCAGUAGCGGCGAGCGAACGGGGAGCAGCCCAGAGCCUGAAUCAGUGUGUGUGUUAGUGGAAGCGUCUGGAAAGGCGCGCGAUACAGGGUGACAGCCCCGUACACAAAAAUGCACAUAUUGUGAGCUCGAUGAGUAGGGCGGGACACGUGGUAUCCUGUCUGAAUAUGGGGGGACCAUCCUCCAAGGCUAAAUACUCCUGACUGACCGAUAGUGAACCAGUACCGUGAGGGAAAGGCGAAAAGAACCCCGGCGAGGGGAGUGAAAAAGAACCUGAAACCGUGUACGUACAAGCAGUGGGAGCACGCUUAGGCGUGUGACUGCGUACCUUUUGUAUAAUGGGUCAGCGACUUAUAUUCUGUAGCAAGGUUAACCGAAUAGGGGAGCCGAAGGGAAACCGAGUCUUAACUGGGCGUUAAGUUGCAGGGUAUAGACCCGAAACCCGGUGAUCUAGCCAUGGGCAGGUUGAAGGUUGGGUAACACUAACUGGAGGACCGAACCGACUAAUGUUGAAAAAUUAGCGGAUGACUUGUGGCUGGGGGUGAAAGGCCAAUCAAACCGGGAGAUAGCUGGUUCUCCCCGAAAGCUAUUUAGGUAGCGCCUCGUGAAUUCAUCUCCGGGGGUAGAGCACUGUUUCGGCAAGGGGGUCAUCCCGACUUACCAACCCGAUGCAAACUGCGAAUACCGGAGAAUGUUAUCACGGGAGACACACGGCGGGUGCUAACGUCCGUCGUGAAGAGGGAAACAACCCAGACCGCCAGCUAAGGUCCCAAAGUCAUGGUUAAGUGGGAAACGAUGUGGGAAGGCCCAGACAGCCAGGAUGUUGGCUUAGAAGCAGCCAUCAUUUAAAGAAAGCGUAAUAGCUCACUGGUCGAGUCGGCCUGCGCGGAAGAUGUAACGGGGCUAAACCAUGCACCGAAGCUGCGGCAGCGACGCUUAUGCGUUGUUGGGUAGGGGAGCGUUCUGUAAGCCUGUGAAGGUGUGCUGUGAGGUAUGCUGGAGGUAUCAGAAGUGCGAAUGCUGACAUAAGUAACGAUAAAGCGGGUGAAAAGCCCGCUCGCCGGAAGACCAAGGGUUCCUGUCCAACGUUAAUCGGGGCAGGGUGAGUCGACCCCUAAGGCGAGGCCGAAAGGCGUAGUCGAUGGGAAACAGGUUAAUAUUCCUGUACUUGGUGUUACUGCGAAGGGGGGACGGAGAAGGCUAUGUUGGCCGGGCGACGGUUGUCCCGGUUUAAGCGUGUAGGCUGGUUUUCCAGGCAAAUCCGGAAAAUCAAGGCUGAGGCGUGAUGACGAGGCACUACGGUGCUGAAGCAACAAAUGCCCUGCUUCCAGGAAAAGCCUCUAAGCAUCAGGUAACAUCAAAUCGUACCCCAAACCGACACAGGUGGUCAGGUAGAGAAUACCAAGGCGCUUGAGAGAACUCGGGUGAAGGAACUAGGCAAAAUGGUGCCGUAACUUCGGGAGAAGGCACGCUGAUAUGUAGGUGAGGUCCCUCGCGGAUGGAGCUGAAAUCAGUCGAAGAUACCAGCUGGCUGCAACUGUUUAUUAAAAACACAGCACUGUGCAAACACGAAAGUGGACGUAUACGGUGUGACGCCUGCCCGGUGCCGGAAGGUUAAUUGAUGGGGUUAGCGCAAGCGAAGCUCUUGAUCGAAGCCCCGGUAAACGGCGGCCGUAACUAUAACGGUCCUAAGGUAGCGAAAUUCCUUGUCGGGUAAGUUCCGACCUGCACGAAUGGCGUAAUGAUGGCCAGGCUGUCUCCACCCGAGACUCAGUGAAAUUGAACUCGCUGUGAAGAUGCAGUGUACCCGCGGCAAGACGGAAAGACCCCGUGAACCUUUACUAUAGCUUGACACUGAACAUUGAGCCUUGAUGUGUAGGAUAGGUGGGAGGCUUGGAAGUGUGGACGCCAGUCUGCAUGGAGCCGACCUUGAAAUACCACCCUUUAAUGUUUGAUGUUCUAACGUUGACCCGUAAUCCGGGUUGCGGACAGUGUCUGGUGGGUAGUUUGACUGGGGCGGUCUCCUCCUAAAGAGUAACGGAGGAGCACGAAGGUUGGCUAAUCCUGGUCGGACAUCAGGAGGUUAGUGCAAUGGCAUAAGCCAGCUUGACUGCGAGCGUGACGGCGCGAGCAGGUGCGAAAGCAGGUCAUAGUGAUCCGGUGGUUCUGAAUGGAAGGGCCAUCGCUCAACGGAUAAAAGGUACUCCGGGGAUAACAGGCUGAUACCGCCCAAGAGUUCAUAUCGACGGCGGUGUUUGGCACCUCGAUGUCGGCUCAUCACAUCCUGGGGCUGAAGUAGGUCCCAAGGGUAUGGCUGUUCGCCAUUUAAAGUGGUACGCGAGCUGGGUUUAGAACGUCGUGAGACAGUUCGGUCCCUAUCUGCCGUGGGCGCUGGAGAACUGAGGGGGGCUGCUCCUAGUACGAGAGGACCGGAGUGGACGCAUCACUGGUGUUCGGGUUGUCAUGCCAAUGGCACUGCCCGGUAGCUAAAUGCGGAAGAGAUAAGUGCUGAAAGCAUCUAAGCACGAAACUUGCCCCGAGAUGAGUUCUCCCUGACUCCUUGA
This 2787-nucleotide ribosomal RNA is filed under the name Escherichia coli. RNAcentral's name for it is "bacterial LSU rRNA". It matches the Rfam family "Bacterial large subunit ribosomal RNA". Lineage: Bacteria; Pseudomonadati; Pseudomonadota; Gammaproteobacteria; Enterobacterales; Enterobacteriaceae. The record is from RNAcentral.